RNAcentral lists this ribosomal RNA (1884 nucleotides) under human gut metagenome. Its description in RNAcentral is "bacterial LSU rRNA". It matches the Rfam family "Bacterial large subunit ribosomal RNA", at positions 3 to 1977 of the family's 2925-position model. The record is from RNAcentral.
UCAAGCUGUAAAGGGCGCAAGGGGAAUGCCUUGGCACUGAGAGCCGACGAAGGACGCGACAAGCUGCGAUAAGCUACGGGGAGCCGCAAAUGGGCUUUGAUCCGUGGAUUUCCGAAUGGGGAAACCCGGCAGAGCAAUACUCUGUCAACGUACACUGAAUACAUAGGUGUACGUGGGGAACCGCCUGAACUGAAACAUCUAAGUAGGGCGAGGAAGAGAAAUCAACCGAGAUUUCCUCAGUAGUGGCGAGCGAACGGGAAAGAGGCCAAACCGAGAGAAGCAAUUCUUUCGGGGUUACGGACUGCAUUUAGCAUUCAGCGAUUUUAACCGAAAUGUAUUGGAAAAGCAUACCGAAGAACGUGAAAGUCGUGUAGGUGAAAAGAAAGCUGAGCGAGCAGGAUCCAGAGUACCGCCGGACACGUGAAACCCGGUGGGAAGUCGGGGGGACCACCCUCCAAGCCUAAAUACUACCCAAUGACCGAUAGCGAAUAGUACUGUGAAGGAAAGGUGAAAAGAACCCCGGGAGGGGAGUGAAAUAGAACCUGAAACCCUGUGCUUACAAGCACCGAGAGCACGUCAAUGUGUGAUCGGGUACCUUUUGUAGAAUGGUCCGGCGAGUUAUCGUAUGUAGCAAGGUUAAGGACUUCAGGUCCGGAGCCGCAGCGAGAGCGAGUCUGAAUAGGGCGAACAGUUGCAUGCGAUAGACCCGAAACCGAGUGACCUAGCCAUGUCCAGGAUGAAGUGGAGGUAAAACUCCAUGGAGGUCCGAACCGACCCCCGUUGAAAAGGUGGCGGAUGAGGUGUGGCUAGCGGAGAAAUUCCAAUCGAACUCGGAUAUAGCUGGUUCUCUCCGAAAUAGCUUUAGGGCUAGCGUUGUAUAUGAUUCUUGGAGGUAAAGCACUGAAUGGGCUAGGGGCCGAAAGGUUACUGAACCUUAUCAAACUCAGAAUGCCAAAGAAUAUGAGUACAGCAGUCAGACUACGUGAGAUAAGUCUCGUGGUCAAAAGGGAAACAGCCCAGACCCACAGCUAAGGUCCCUAAAUAGGUUUAAGUGGAAAAGGAUGUGGGGUUGCACAGACAACCAGGAUGUUGGCUUAGAAGCAGCCACUCAUUAAAAGAGUGCGUAAUAGCUCACUGGUCGAGUGACCCUGCGCCGAAAAUUCAACGGGGCUAAAAUCUAUACCGAAGCUUGGGAUUGACAGCAAUGUCAGUGGUAGGAGAGCGUUGUAUAAGGGACGAAGUCAGAGCGAAAGCGCUGGUGGACUUUAUACAAGUGAGAAUGCCGGAAUGAGUAGCGAGAAUUAUGUGAGAAUCAUAAUGGCCGAAAGACUAAGGUUUUAGAAGGAAGGUUCGUCCGCUUCUAGUUAGCCGGGAGCUAAGGCGAGGCCGAAAGGCGUAGUCGAUGCACAUACGGUGGAGAUUCCGUAGCCUCCGAAGGAUUUAAACAGAGGGACACUUUCAAAGCGUUUGACCCGGGCGUUGGUUGCCCCGGGCGUAAGGGACCGAAAAAUAUAGUAGGGAAGCAAGCGUGGAGGAAGGCGAGAAAAGCUCUGAGAAUAUCCAAGGAGCCCGUACUGAAAACCGACACAGGUAGUCAGGAAGAGAAUUCUAAGGCCAACGGGAGAAGGGUAGUUAAGGAACUCGGCAAAUUGACCCCGUAACUUCGGAAUAAGGGGUGCUCACUAAGGUGAGCCGCAGUGAAUAGGUCCAGGCGACUGUUUAUCAAAAACACAGCUCUCUGCUAAAUCGAAAGAUGAUGUAUAGGGGGUGACACCUGCCCGGUGCUGGAAGGUUAAGAGGAGGAGUGCAAGCUCCGAAUUGAAGCCCCAGUAAACGGCGGCCGUAACUAUAACGGUCCUAAGGUAGCGAAAUUCCUUGUCGGGU